GCCGACGUAGCUCAGUUGGUAGAGCAGGGCUUUCGUAAAGCCAAGGUCGUCGGUUCGAUUCCGACCGUCGGCUCCA
Molecule: transfer RNA, 76 nt
Filed under: candidate division WWE3 bacterium
Lineage: Bacteria; candidate division WWE3
Description: tRNA-Thr
Rfam family: tRNA
About the family: Transfer RNA (tRNA) molecules are approximately 80 nucleotides in length. Their secondary structure includes four short double-helical elements and three loops (D, anti-codon, and T loops).
Source: RNAcentral